Molecule: unclassified non-coding RNA, 944 nt
Filed under: Hevea brasiliensis (rubber tree)
Lineage: Eukaryota; Viridiplantae; Streptophyta; Magnoliopsida; Malpighiales; Euphorbiaceae
Source: RNAcentral
GUGAAAGAAUUUCUCUUUUUAGAAACACAUGCAUUCUUUGGGUUGUUUUAUCAUGGCUUCAACAAUUCCUUAAAGUUAUGAGAAAUAAAAUGGCAAUGUUUCCAUUUCCAUAGAUAAGUAAAACUCCCAUAAGCAUUAUAGUUAUAGUUCUAAUUGUUAGGACAAAUAAAAACUCCCAUAAGCUUUAUAGUUAUAGUCCAAUUGUUAGGACAAGUAAAUGUUUUUGGCUAAAGAUCAACUGUAACUGUUGGUGAAAAGAGAAAGUUAGCAUACAUGAUACUUGCCGUGCACACAUCUCACACUGAUUGGGUGAUAAUUCUUCUUUUUUCCCUCUGCAAAAUCAACUCCAUUGGUAAAAAUAUGUAGCUAGCAUGAAUCUUUUAAGGUUUAUCUUAGACUCUACAUUUAUGUACACAUUUUUUUUUUGUUAUAAAUGGUUGUACUACAAACUCAAACAGUGUCAUAUAACAUCAUUUUCAAAACAAAAAUUUGCAUUCUCAUUUGUCAAGGCACAAUUGGAAAUGAAGAAACUAUUUACUCUCCUAUGUUAUGAGUAGAACUGGAGUUAUCACUUGCAAGAGUAAAUAUGUUAUACUGGACUGUAAUUUGAGAUGAAGAUAUUUUCCAACAUGAUUGGAUACAAAAAUUUUAAGAAAUGCGACUGUAAAAUAGUGGACAUAAAAAAAAUGCUACCUCAAAAAAAAUUGUGCUUUUAGAAUGAUACUGGAAAAUAUUAUUUUCAAAAUUAAAUUCAUAGUGAUGAAACACAAACACAGUUUGCAUGGUGAAUGGCAAAUUUGGUUUCCACAUGAAGCAUGAUCAGCAUUAGUAGUUAAAUUGCAUUCUCUAAGCAUGCUAGCACCUCUGUGGAAUACUUGGCACAUCAUUUGUAAGACCAUACAAACAACAUUUAGCAUGUAUAUUAAUCGUUGUCAUUUUUUAUA